Long non-coding RNA from Pocillopora damicornis (cauliflower coral), 916 nucleotides. NCBI's taxonomy places the organism in Eukaryota, Metazoa, Cnidaria, Anthozoa, Scleractinia, Pocilloporidae. The record is from RefSeq and is a predicted model, not a curated record.
UAUUGGAUUUUCGGUCAAUACAUUGAAAAAUCGGAAUCAUUUUGAUGGGUAUUUACUGGCAGAAAGCCCGGUUUUAUUUAUUUAUGCUACCCGUGGGCCGCCUUGAAGUACGCUUAUAUAAAUAUAUGUCAUUUUUCCUUGAAGCGGCUGGUCAUCAACAGUCGUCAAGAUAAGGUUAAUAGCCUCAAGUUUUUGUUCCCAACGCAAAUUCCUUCAACGACCAUAUCAAUUCAUUACACAAGAAACGAGCAGAAGGGCAUCUUGCUGCGCAUGUCCCGUAAAUUUUAGUUCGAUGCGAGAAACCGCUGGCAUGUGCCUGUGUUGGUAAUCGCGAAAGAAAAGAAGCAGGAAAAUACUUCGGAAAACAACAAUGGAUCGAGUAUUUGAGACAACUUUUCUCGUCAUUUUUCCCGCUGUAACUUAGAUGGAAGCGGCAAAGUCUUAAAAUUGUUGUGUGUGAAUCCCAACCGGCGGGGCUGAUUACUAAAACAAAAAGGGCCAAUGUCAAGUUAAGAAAGGUGAGACAACGUUAGUACUAGAGAUACGGUCGUUACAUGAAAGAGCUUGUUAGGAAUGGAGGAAUAAUUAUGGAUUUUAUCAGAGUAAGGAAAAGUCUUUUCAAUCAUUAGUCUUGGAAAUAUCAUUAGAUAUGAUCAAUGAUGCGGAGAAACUGUGAGUUAAAACAAGUGCUAGUUUGGGCUUCCAGUUGUAAUAUGAAUAGUCAACUAAAUCAAUUAUUUCCUAAUCACAUUCAUUCUAUCAUUUCCACUGCACAAAAAAAUCGUAUACACUCUUUUUAACCUUAUUCUCCAACCCUUUAAAUUACAAGAGUUAUGUGACAAUUUGAUGGUCCGAAAAGACUCUUAUUACAUGCUCAACAAUAAAGAACCAGUAAGGCUGAUAUUUAACAGUGAGG